CAGGCCUAACACAUGCAAGUCGAACGGAGCCGCAACGCUUAGUGGCGAACGGGUGCGUAACGCGUAUGCAACCUGCCCGCAACUGGGGGAUAGCCCGGCCAAAGCUGGGGUAAACCCGCACGGUCCAUUGGUCUCACCUGGGGUUACUGGUAAACAUAUAUGGGUUGCGGAGGGGCUUGCGUCUGAUUAGCUAGUUGGCGGGGUAAGGGCCCACCAAGGCGAUGAUCAGUAGGGGUUCUGAGAGGAUUGGCCCCCACAUGGGUACUGAGAUACGGACCCAACUCCUACGGGAGGCAGCAGUAGGGAAUAUUGGGCAAUGGGCGAGAGCCUGACCCAGCCAUGCCGCGUGCCGGAUGAACGCGCUCAGCGUUGUAAACGGCUUUUGACUGGGAAGAACGGCAGGUCUGCGAACUUGUGUGACGGUACCAGCAGAAUAAGCACCGGCUAACUCCGUGCCAGCAGCCGCGGUAAU
RNAcentral lists this ribosomal RNA (472 nucleotides) under uncultured bacterium. RNAcentral describes it as "bacterial SSU rRNA". It matches the Rfam family "Bacterial small subunit ribosomal RNA", at positions 43 to 524 of the family's 1533-position model. The record is from RNAcentral.